Molecule: long non-coding RNA, 1805 nt
Organism: Myiozetetes cayanensis
Lineage: Eukaryota; Metazoa; Chordata; Aves; Passeriformes; Tyrannidae
Exons: 4
Source: RefSeq, a predicted model, not a curated record
GGGGCUGGAGCGUGGCUCUGGCAGGUUUGCCGUGGGCUGAAGGGGCAGAGCAGACUGGGGUUGUGGGGCAGGAGGAGGGCAGCUGGUUCCCCUUGCCUCAAGGUGGGUAGCAGGGUGUUGUGGGCCUCUCCUGGCCCUCUGCACCUCAUGCCCUCUGUGGUUUAGCUCUCAGUUCUCUCCUUCAUCCUUCUCUUCUCCCUCUCACUGCCUCUCUGGUGCCUCCUUCCCCCCUCUCUCUGUGCUCCCUUGCUCUCUCUGUGCCUCUUCACUCUCUGUUUGGUCUCUCCUCUCUGCCCUGCUCUCUCUCUGUGUCCCCCUCUCUUGGUGCUCACUCUCUGCUCUCUCUAUGCCUCUCUGCCACCCCUCUCUGAUCUCCCUCUCAGUGCCCACCCUGCUGCAUCUGCUGGCUCUCUGCCCUCUCCCCAUCCCUGCUCUAUCUCCCUUUUUGCUCUCCAGGCCUCCUGGCUCUCUCCUCAGUUUUUUUGCCUCACUUCCCCCCCUUCCUUUGUCUUUUGCCCUUUAUCCUGGCACCAAUAAAUGAACUCUGUGGCCAGAGGACGAUGAGGAGCGUGGAUGUGUCCAUACCUGAGGUAGCUGACUCUGUGGCCCAAGGGCCUGUGUGUUUUUCCAGAGGUUGCCCACUGCAGGUGGCCUGUCUGGGGUGGGACAACCCAUGGAGCUGAUGGUGGAGAGGAUCUCCAGGGGCACUGGAGGCAGCUGAGUGGUGCUGGCUGGUGCUUGGUAAGUAGGUUUUCGCAGGUGUCCAAGCAGUGGUGAUGAGCAGAGUGCCUGUCUGCAGGGAUUGCAGUGUUGGCCAAGCCUUUUGUUGUUCCUUAAUCCUUCAGGAGACAUGAAAAUAAGGUUGAAUCAACAGCAUGGUGAAGAUAAUUUAAACAGUGGAAGGAGCUGAAAUUGUCUGGAGCAAGGUGACAUUUCAACCUUUCUCAUGUGUGGAACAUUAAUGGGAGGGAACAGCCAGUGAAGGGCAGGACUAACUUUUUUCCCACUGGAAAACCCCAUUUUGAUGCCCCAACUGCUGACUUGGCAGGUGGAAUCUGCUGUGAGCUGGGCUUAGACAAGGAAAGUACAUCCCAAGAGUUAAUGCAGAUUUAUACAGUGAAGGACUUUUCAGUCCUGCUUCCAAAAAAAGCAGAGUUUUCACAAGCUGGAUGUUCCAGGCAGACACUUGGCAGUGGUUUUGAAGAGCAAGGAUGAUGGAGAGUUGGAUCAGAAUAUACACAGAAUAAAGAGCUAUGGUAAAAUAUACACAGAAAAUACACAGAAUAACAGGAAACAACUGCACCUGGGAAGCAGAGGAAACAAGGAGAAGUAAAGGGUGAAAAAGAGGAAAGAAAACCCCACAUGUAAGUGGGUAAAUACUUAGUGAGGCCACAGUAACAACAGGAACAUCCCUGGGAGGAGAAAAAAAUAAAACCACGAAGCAGGUCCUGAUUGCAAGAAUGAAACAACUCAGUGAGGAGGACAUGGAUGAGCUGUGCCCUGCCCUUUCUAAGGAAGAAGAAGAAGAAGAAAACACCACUAAAUACUAAGAAAAAACAUGGAAAAAAAGAAGAUAUCCUACUCCACCCCUGGCUUUCCUCACUCCCCCCUCAUUUCCACACCACACAACCACUGCCCCCCAUGGGCCAGCACUCCCUGUUUGAGACCUCGUGGCUAAUUUAGGCCAAGUUCAGUAAAGAUUAAUUUGUUACCUGUGUGAUGGUGAUGAAUAAAGCCUGAGCCUGGCUGUUAAUGUGUACUGUCAAUGAUUGUCAGUCCAGUAAAGCCUGCUUUAAACCUUCAAA